GGGACAGUGGGACGGUGGGACGAUGGGACAAUGGGACAGUGGGACGGAGCUGACGUUCCAUGGAGUAUGCGCAAGAUGGACGGUGGUCCGCCAUCAGGGGUUGAGUGGUGCGGAGUCCGUCAUUCGCACCAUUCCACUUCCACUGCACAUGUCCAAUGCGACGUUGCAACCGCCUGGCUCCGCAACAACACGUGCAACGCAGGAGAGUGCACUUCUGACGGGCCUUUCAGCAUAUUGGCAAGGGUGGCUGGUCUUCCCCACCGAUCAUCCCUAAACCGACUGGGGGUUGGGUGUAGAAACGUGGGGCAACGGGCAGAGUUGCGGUACGAGCGAGCGCCCGACGAACGGACCGGCGCGGAGCCAACCACGGCCACGGCAACCGACGUAGUCCACCCACGUGACCCCAAGGCGUAUAGCGACGGCUCCACUAUCUCCGGCUCCACAAUCUCCCGAUACUAAACCUUAACAAAGUUGGAACUAAAUCGUGCUGAAAUUGUUAAGGUUGUGGGGAGAGCGAAUGGGAGAUAAAAAGACGGACAUUUGGUGACGUUUGGCAGGCGGGGUUGAGAAAGGCGGGUUCCGGGGCCAUUGAAGACGGCGAUAAGCUAGCAGUGGAGCAGCAAACGUCUUUCCCAAACCCCUCGUUGGCCACAGUUAGCGUAUGUAUGGUGAGACAUGCCCAGGGCUACACGAAGCUUGAGAGAUGACUUGAGGCCGGAGGAGCACUGCCAGGGCCCGGGAGUUUGUUUGCAAGGUGACUCGGCGGAGUCACCGAUCACUUUUUGGCGACUGUUGAUGCAUGGUGGACUCCCAUAUAGUGUUCACUUUGGUCAUGCCAGGUACAGGCACAACGUACAAAAGAGGCUCUCAGGGUUGACAGCCAAUUUAAAUGCAUGAUCCACGUUGGGUUCUCGAGUGUCACGACUCCAGGGCUCGUUUCAACCGUCAUUAGUGCACUUGUGCAGUACUGUACAGUGCGUAGUCAGACUGUAUCUCUACUGUGGAGCCAGACCUACGAGUGUGUUGUAUUAGGUAAGGGUGGCAUCGGAGUCAAGAGCAGAAAGACGAAUACAGCGUUAGUUUAGAUGGUCGAUUCAAGUAGCUAGUGGUGAACUGCCGAUUCGAAGUACAGUACUCGAAGUAUCUUCACAAUCUUCUUCUGGUGUCACGUA
Molecule: unclassified non-coding RNA, 1172 nt
Filed under: Yarrowia lipolytica
Lineage: Eukaryota; Fungi; Ascomycota; Dipodascomycetes; Dipodascales
Source: RNAcentral